Molecule: long non-coding RNA, 152 nt
Organism: Trichechus manatus latirostris (Florida manatee)
Lineage: Eukaryota; Metazoa; Chordata; Mammalia; Sirenia; Trichechidae
Exons: 3
Source: RefSeq, a predicted model, not a curated record
AAAGCCACUGGCAGAGAUUUGAUGAACUUCACAGACAGAAGCUGCCCAUUUAGACUCAUGUAUCUACUUGAGCUAAGAAGCGCACUCUUUGCUAUGUAUACCUUCGUGGAAGAUCUUCCAGGAGAAUAACUGUGUCUUAUUAUUGUUGACAC